CCACCGGUAUAUCAGAAGCGAGUAACUUUUUACUCGUAUCACAGAUAGAUAUUGAGCAAGGUGACUGACUCUUCACACUAGGCUUACUGAGCGGGUUCCAGAGCAAUGGCUUUUAACUCGUGCAGGCGGGUAAGUAUUCAACAAGUAGCUGUAUCUUCACACUGGGCUUUACAGGGCGUAUUCAAGGUCAGUAGCUUUUAGCUCGUACAAACAGGUAAGUAUUCAACAAGUGGCUGUAUCUUCACGCUGGGCUUUACAGGGCGUAUUCAAGGGCAAUAGCUUUUAGCUCGUACAGAGAAGUAAGUAUUCAACAAGUGGCUGUAUCUUCACGCUGGGCUUACAGAGCGUAUUCAAGGUCAGUAGCUUUUAGCUCGUACAAACAGGUAAGUAUUCAACAAGUAACUGUAUCUUCACGCUGGGCUUUACAGGGCGUAUUCAAGGGCAAUAGCUUUUAGCUCGUACAGACAGGUAAGUAUUCAACAAGUGACUGGAUCUUCACGCUGGGCUUACAGAGCGUAUUCAAGGUCAGUAGCUUUCCCCACAAUAUCCGCACAAUACCUUGUUUUGCUUUCACACUUCACCUUCGAGCUGGGUCCGGAGAACGGAGUUAUAGGCGGGCGUAGGUGGGAUAGGUGGGCACCGCCACGGCAGCCUACGUUCUUUCCAACAGGAACUUUUCUCGGCCUGGAGGGCAAGUACAGACAACAGGGAAACGGCACAGCACUGCAAAGCUUUAGUGCACACACGUCAAAGACAGACUCACCCACUGCACUACACACACUUCAGUGAUUUUUAAGGUCGGUACUCCACACCCGGUCGGAUUUCGUCCUGGAGGAAUUUGCAGUCGCUGUCACGGUAAGUGCUCCAAACUUUACGGUGUGGCCACAGCCAAAUAACAUCCAUUCACCCACGCUCUACUUCGGCUCACCCACUCGUCUCGUCC
This is a long non-coding RNA of Cyprinus carpio carpio, 943 nucleotides long. The record is from Ensembl. Lineage: Eukaryota; Metazoa; Chordata; Actinopteri; Cypriniformes; Cyprinidae.